AUUGAACGCUGGCGGCAGGCCUAACACAUGCAAGUCGAGCGGAUGAAGGGAGCUUGCUCCUGGAUUCAGCGGCGGACGGGUGAGUAAUGCCUAGGAAUCUGCCUGGUAGUGGGGGAUAACGUCCGGAAACGGGCGCUAAUACCGCAUACGUCCUGAGGGAGGAAGUGGGGGAUCUUCGGACCUCACGCUAUCAGAUGAGCCUAGGUCGGAUUAGCUAGUUGGUGGGGUAAGGUCCUGCCAAGGCGACGAUCCGUAACUGGUCUGAGAGGAUGAUCAGUCACACUGGAACUGAGACACGGUCCAGACUCCUACGGGAGGAAGCAGUGGGGAAUAUUGGACAAUGGGCGAAAGCCUGAUCCAGCCAUGCCGCGUGUGUGAAGAAGGUCUUCGGAUUGUAAAGCACUUUAAGUUGGGAGGAAGGGCAGUAAGUUAAUACCUUGCUGUUUUGACGUUACCAACAGAAUAAGCACCGGCUAACUUCGUG
This 484-nucleotide ribosomal RNA is filed under the name uncultured bacterium. RNAcentral describes it as "partial 16S ribosomal RNA". It matches the Rfam family "Bacterial small subunit ribosomal RNA", at positions 30 to 507 of the family's 1533-position model. The record is from RNAcentral.